GCACCUUAGAGACCAACUAAGUUUGUUCUUUGUAUGAGCUUUCGUGUGCAUGCACAUGUAUCUGAAGUGUGCAUGCACACAAAAACUCAUACCAAGAACAAACUUAGUUGGUCUCUAAGGUG
This is a non-coding RNA of Podarcis lilfordi (Lilford's wall lizard), 122 nucleotides long. NCBI's taxonomy places the organism in Eukaryota, Metazoa, Chordata, Lepidosauria, Squamata, Lacertidae. The record is from the annotation of a GenBank genome assembly.